CCCACUUUCCGGCCACAAGGAUCAAGGCCCAAAGGGAGGCAGCAGCACUGCCAAGAACCAGGCAGCAAGGAGCUCACGCUCAGGCUUAAUGCAAACACCUGGCCAGGACGGAAGUUUGAUCCUGCAAGAGCCAAGCAAUGCAGCAGCUUCAUCUCAUUGGGCAGAAGAUAAGCACUGCACAUGCAGAUCUUCCAGAUGUCCCAGGACUUGUCCCAGGAAUCUUCAUACGCCCUCUGAAAGCCAGUUGUAAUGGAAAGGCUGCUUCAUGUGAUGCAUCGAACACGUUUCAUUUUGUGGCCCUCAAAUUGAGCAAAAAGGGCUGUCAGAGCAAGGCUGCAGGAUUCAGGCUCUGACCUUCACACCCUGCUUUCUCCUGUUCUCGCUGGUACUGUGUGCUGAGGGGAGGCUCCUGCAGCACCUGCCCUGGGAUAAGGCAUCACGGUUUGUUCCUGUCCCUGCCUUCAAGGUCUGUGCCAUUCCACACGGCUGUUUCUCUAGGAGAAAGCGUGUGUUCAGCAGUGUGAACCGUCUCCACAGAGCUGCAGCCUGGCUGAGUAACACAAUCCUUCACCUCUCCCCUUGGAGAACAGAAGGGACAGAAAUGUACUGACUACAACUAGGGGCAUCCCAUCCUGGUUUUGCUGCUGUCACGAGCCCCUCUUGUUCUGUCGGAAGGGUUUUGUGUGCAGAGAGAUGUAGCAGAUAGGCUGUGUUUGCCUGGGCCAUGAAGAGUAACAACCCUUUACAAGCAAAGAUGCGCUCUUUAGCCUGCCAGGCAGUGUGCUUGGGAGCUCCACUGCUUCCUCAGGAUGUCCACAAAACGUCAUCCAACAAGAUGGCACCUACCAGCUGCUCUCACCUGGGUGGGCAAUGUGAGCCACUGUGUGCUCUGCCGGCCCUGUGCACAGUGAGGGGCGCUGGUGGUGUGAAUGGGAGAAACCAUAAAGGCAGUUAGAGUGGGAAGGGAGAGGAAUUGCACCAUCCGUUAUCCAACUUGAGCAAAGUGACGUGAAGAAGGAUAUUAUUUUAGAAAGUUUAUCUCUUUAGUAUCUAUGGUGACAAGAUGCUUAUCGGAGUAAGACAGACUCACAGGCUGUCUGCUCCUUGUUAUCUCAGUGUAGGAUGACAGUAUAAGUAUCACGUCUAGAAAUGUUAUCUAUCCUUUAUUAUUUCACUUGUGAGGGUCUAACAGGAGUGUUAUCAGGGUGUUUACAAUCAAAACACGUGCGGCUCAAGUGAUAAAAAGGAGAACAGACAUCUGAUCUCCAAGGAUAUGAAGACAAUACAGCCUUGAGCAGGAGGAGAUGGAUCUUAUUGGAAAUGGUUUGUCGGGCUGGGAAUGGACAAGCAAGCCCGCGUGAUUGCUCACAUCAUAAGCUUGAGAGAUGGGAUGGGGGAGAAGCACGCGUACGAGCGCACGCGGUCUCACAGAAAAUGAAAAGGCGAUUGUAUCAACAGCACUCUCAGCUGAAAGAGAAAUAUUUUCCAAUAAUUUCGUUACGAUUUGAUGUAUUCUGUGCUCUCCUCUCCCUUAGAGCGGUAAUGUGGCGAGCUGGCAGGACCAACAAGUGCCGUAGAGUUGCUUGGAGUGAGUCAGAAGCUGAGAAAGCUUACCCAGGCUCGGAGGGUGGAGAGCAGACAGCUGGUAAGAUUGCUUAUCAGGGGCUUCCUUUAGAUUAGCACAACGCUGGCCCAAGCUUCUGCAAGGUAAGGAAUCAAUUUCGGGGUUAGUGGUGACUAUAAACCUUAUCCUAGAUCUCCUUAGGGCCAGGGAGGCUAAAUUCCUCACGGACGGAGGUGUACAAAGAUCUCCCAGACAUCAGAUCUCAUUCGUUUACAGCGUGAGCAAGCCAGGUGCUCAGUGGUGUCAAAUGCUGAUUUUCUUACUUGGCAUGAAUGAUCCUCAGCUGUUAAAGAUAGGGCUGGAUUGUGCAAUGCUCUGUUCAAACCCAGGUCUUACUCCUGGAGGUGGCUGUGUUCUUGGAUAGAUAGACUUCAUUGGAUGUUUUCUUCUUCUGUUGCAGUUAGACUCCAUUCUCCUAAGGUACAACAGUUCCCUUAAGCCAAGCAGAGUGCUUUUAUCCCACAAGAUAACAUGGAGUGAGGAGUGUGUCUUCUGGGGGUCAUAGAUGGGGGGCCAGGCAUGGUGAGGUGCAAUGGGUGGGCACAUUGUGGCCUCCUGGUGACAAACCCACCUCUGAGCAUCUCUUCCUGACUGUAUAGCUGGCUUCCAACUGGAGGUAGGCAGCUUCUUUGGGUAGGGGGUAGGGAAGGAACACAAGCAUCUCCCCCUCAGCACAGUUCUGCAUUAGCCUGCCUGCUCAGCUCCAUAUUCAUCUUGAGCUGGGUAUCACACAAAGAGAACUGCUUUCAACCUGUCUCAAUGACUCUCCCAUCACUCUCUAAUGGCUGUCAACUGCAGGUAACCCUUCUUCACCUGUGGAAACUGGCAGCAACACCUCGGGCUCGUUUAUGAGAAAUUAUCUCUGGUUGUGAUACACGGUGCAUUUUUUUUUUUUCAUUUGAACCCCUAGCUUGGCAGGGCCAGUGGGGCUGUUUUGUAUGGUAAUAUAUGACCCAUCACUCCUCUCCUGCCCUUCGUCUCUCACACCUUUAAUUGCACUUGUGUUUCUGAAGCAUAUGGAAUUCAUUAUUCAGCAAGCAAGGUCCUUUGCAAUAUCAGCCUUAAUUAACUGUUCCCCUCUGCAUUUUCUUGCUCUUAUCCUCUCCAAAUCUACACACCAAGACAGGCUGAUGGCCCCCCACAUGCAUCAGUGCCAGCCAGUGAGCCGUGACCAGAUAAGAAGAAAUGGAAUUCCUUAUCUUUUUUUUUUUUUCCUUCUUCUUUCUUAAAAUACAUGUACACACAAACCUGGAAAAGGUCAAGGUUACUGGGAAGGGAGAAGGCACUUCAAGACAACAAAACCCCCUUCUCUUUCAAGUCUCCAUAGCAACUCGAAGGAGCAUCAUGGGAUGUCAGGAUGAGAGAGGCCUAUUCUUUUCAUGCAACACUCUUUCCACUUCAUUAGACUCUUUAUCAAGUAUCUCUGCUCUGGGCUGAGUAUAUUUUUUUGUGUCAGGGAGCAGUGCAGAUGACUCAAAAGCACGCUGACCUUUUCAGUGGGACCCGGGAGUUCCUUGUGGGAGCUGCAUCCUCUUCCCUUGCCUUCCUCCCCCACAGCCCCUUGCCUCCAGUUCGCAUGACCUCGGUCUGCCUGGCCUUCUCAUCAAAACCCCGUGGCUGGGGAGGGAUGAAGGGCUUCUUUUAAAGGAGAAAGGGGGAAAAAAAAUAAAGAGAGCAGAGUAUGAGAAUGUCCUUCGCUGGCACUGGAGGUGUCAAGACCCAGCUGUCAGAGCCGUGCAUCUAUGGGGAAGAUUAAUGACUCUGCUCAGAGAAAAUCCAAAUAAAAUAGGACAGAAUAAAUGCCAAGUGACUGGGCGGAGGAUGAGGGGAAGAGUGAGGAAGGAGCGAGGCAGUGUGACGGGGCGGAGGUAUUCCUCAGUCUCGGAAGUGCUUUAAUUCCCCGUGGAGGAACAAGUUAGCAUAGGAACGCUCUUUAGGUUUCACCCCAUGGUCUUGAAGAGCCGUGUCUGUCUGUGUGCAUCGGGGUGUGAGCACGCUUAUAAAGCACUGGUUGUACCGAGGCACCGAGGCUGUAUGUUUUUAUCUUUACUUCCUUGGAAAAAUACCCACCGUAGAGAAGCCUUUUGUUUUAAGCUUCUCACCACGUUAGCCCGUUUCAUCCUCUAGAUAUCUUGAAUUGCUUUGCAAAUCAAUGUGCUGCUUGUUCUUGGGAAGCUUCAAUGCCUGUUUUAUGCUGGGCAGUAGCACACAGCACAGCUUGGAGGGAAUAAAGGGGCUGCAACUGUGCUGUGGUUGUGGGAUUGCACUUGAGCUGCAGGCCCUUAGACCUAACCUUCACGAGAUACCAAGGCGCUGUAACUGCCUUUAGUUUUUAAGAUGAUCCUUUGGAUUUUUACUUCUUCCAGGGAGCUGUUCCGUGACAGUUUGCAGCUUAAUUUGAACAGACUUCAUGCUCUGAGAGCCCAGCUGAGCUCCUCACCAUAACAGCACACGGUGUGAAACUCCGUAUGUUGGAAGCCGCGUGCAUUGGAUGAGGAGAGGGACUCGUUAGCGUGGAUGACUGACAAGGCCAAAGUCAUUUAACCAAGUGUUUGUAAAGAGCCUUGAACCUGGACAUGCUCAGACUGUGUGCUCCAAGCUAGAUGAUUUACAUGGGUGAUUUUAGGAGGAAAAACUGUAGAAGAAAAAGCUUUGCACGUACAGUAGGAAUCAGGGUUAUGAAUAUCCCAGUCCAACUGCUUCGAUCCUCGGAGGAGUAAUUCUGAAGUGGGAAAUCCCAUUAACUCAUAAUAGGGCUCUUAAGUAGUUCCCUAUGAUGAAUUUGUGGCACUCUGCAAGUCUCAUAAUUCCCAAUAUACAGAUGAGGAAACUGAGGUUAAGUGACUUACCCAAGGUCACGUAGGAAAUCAAUAACCACUGCAGCCCGCGCCGGCAGCACCUCUCACUGACUGUGAGUGACUCUGAAUCAGGGAAUGAUUUGUGUUGAAAGGGGCCUCAAAGAUCACCCAGUUCCAGCCCCUGCAGUGGGUUGGUGGCCACCCACGACAUCAGGCUGCCCAGGGCUGAAUCCAACCUGGCCUUGGACAGCUCCAGGAAUGGGGCACCCACACUUCUCUGGGCAAACCGAAUGGUGAUAAUCAUCCCCAGUGCUGGCAGAGGAAACUUGGUGUCUGAACCCUGUAUCAUGUCACAGCUCUAAAGAAUGUCCCAGGGUCUCGGGGGAGGCUUGGCCAUGCAGAGCUGAGUGGCUGGGACUCUCCCACCCCGAUCAGAGCAACGCUGCUUUGCUGUUUCCUGGCAGAUGGGUGUCCUCUUGUUCUCAGGAUCCUCAAAUAUGGAUGCUCUGUGGUCUCCUGCUGUCCCAGUUUAUCCCAGUGCCCUCUGCCAUCUGUCACAGCACUGUUGCUUUCCCGUGGCACGGCAGGCAGGAGCCCGAAUCCCACACUCUCCAUCUGUGUCAGGUGCUCUGGCUGUGCUCAGCAGUGUGUUUCUUGUGAUCUGAAGCUUAUGUCUGAAAAAGCAGGCAGAGCAUGUCUGUGGCAGGUGUGCAGUGUUGGGGGUGGGAUCCUCUCUCAUAUGAUGGCAGGAAAUUGCCUCGUGCAGGACCUCUCUGCUGUGGUGAGUGUGAGAGCCUCUGCCAGUACCUGUGCUCCUUCUUUCCUCCUGCUGAUUGAGCUCACCGCUCGUGUUCCAGCUCCUCUGCUCGCUGCUUUCAUCUCAGGUUUGCAGGGGAAUACACUGCUGGCAUAGGGGUGUUCCAGCACUGGGGACUGGUGUGAUCAAUGCAUGCUUCCUUACCACGUGUGGUGGGUCCUGCAGGAAGGGGCUGUGCUUCCCAGGGUCCAACGUGGGACUCCUCACAGUAACACUGACCAUCACCUACGUGCUCUUCCUAUCACUUGUUGCUCUUUCCAGAACUAGCAGCUGGUGUGACCCAGCGAUGAGAGGUGCGAGACGGGGUGCAGACACCCAGCAUCACUCAGGUCUUCUGCAGGAGUUUUUCCUCUGUCCAGCUUCUCAGUUCUUUUUUUAUAGUUUCCCUUCAGCUGAUUCAUAGCUAUUUGAAUUGCUGAUUUCACUCGUACUGUUACUGUGGCCUAGUGCUAAUGAUCUGUCUCUAUUUCCUUCCCAGGUAGUAAAGCACAGCAAUACUCUGGAGCCUGCUGUCUGAAUGAGCAUGUGCUGGGAUUAACCUGCUGCCCAACAGCUUGCUAUAUUUUCAUAGUGCUUCCCAUAGCUGCCAGUCUGACAGGCCUCUGAAAGCUGAGGGAAGUGGUUAGUGAUAAGGUGUGGGCACUGAGAACAGCUACACUUUAAGGCCUCACAAGGACAGCAUGCAUUUCUUGUAUGGCUCCAUUUUCCGAUCAGCAUCUCUACACAUAUUUGUCGCUUGCCAGACCCUCAGUCCUCUUUGACUUAACCUGCUGAGAAGGGAGGAUGCUCAGGAGCAUGCAGGCGGAGCAGGAAGCUCAGGGCUAUCUGCCAUAACCCAACCCAGAGACCACUCUGCUCCGCAGCUGGUGCUCCAGCCACCUGCACUGCCAGCACUGAGCUCCAGCUCCAUAACCCAGUGCCUGCGGGCAGUUUUCUGACCUUGUGUAGGGCGAAGAUCUCAACACUCCGUGCAUAUGUGGGGUGAAUGCUGUGGCAGAGGUGUGGCCAUGUAGACAACCCCCUGUUUUGCAACGCACGGCAGAGCACUGGUGUCUCAGGGACAGUUGUAGCGCAGGGGAUAUUUUGUACUGCAAACUGCAGCUUUAAAAAAAGCACUCAAUGUUGGUUCAAGGUUUCAUUCCUGAAGCCUUAAGGACUGAAUAUAUUCACUGUGUCCUUCUUUAUUUGCAGGUUUAAGGCACGACAGACUUGUUCCGCUGAUUAUUCUGACUGCAGGUAUUAGCUGUUCCUUUGAAUGAGGAAUGAGUUAGGCCCCCACUCUCUACUGCUGCGUGGUUUGAUUUCACCUUCAUUCGUAUUAUGGCAGUUCUGAGAGAGCUUCUUGUUUUAUAGAGCAGCUGUGUUGUCUUAAUGCAGCUGUAAUGUGUGUUUGUCCAGGCAUUGCCUUUAGGGGACAGCAGGACUAGGAAGAUGUUUUAUUAGAUCAUUCACAAGUCCUAAUAAUCUCUGAGUCUCUGUAAUAUCUCUGGAUGUCAGCUGUGCUGCUUUCUCUGUGUGGUAUGGGGUUGUAACCUGAAGAUGGGAAAUUGCUUGUGUAUGAUCCCAUAUCGGUUUCAUCUCAGUUUUAGCUCUCCCCUCCUGGCUGUCAAAGAGGAGUUGGUCCUUGUAUGCAAGAUCUUAAACCACGUGUUGGGAGCUCAUGCAUGGAGCAGAGCAGCGGUAUCAGAGGGGAUCCGAGUUGCUUGGAGCCCUGCUUGUGUGAUUCACCGGUGGCACUGAAGACCUUCCCCUGCAGGCUGGAUCCUGGACAGCGCUCCCAUCCCUGCACCUCCAACCUCAGUGCCCGGGUGGUGGAGCCAGGAGGUUCUGGAACAAGGCAGCAAAACUUGCUCGGUGUAGACAAAGCCAUGUGACAGUCCCACCUAACAGCAACCAUGCUACUGGGAACGCAGACAAAGGUGUCACUGUGAUUAAUGGGGCACUCAUCUGAGCACCGCGUCCAGGAGCACAGGUUGCACCUUGCCCUGGUGGCCCGGCUUUUGCAGGCUUUGUCUGCUGUGAGUCCUGCUCAGAAAUGGCUGGAAGGAAUUCAAGGACAGAGGCAAAAAGCAUGGGGCUUAGCCUCAGACUCCCUCAGGAAGGGAAGGACGUGCAUCCUGCCUGUCCUGUGUUCCUCUCCAUGGACUCUUUCCAAGGUGUUGGUCUCCAGAAUGCUCCUGGCUCUGCUCUUCUUGGAAGCAAUGGUGAGACAUCUGUCAGUGUGAGCCCAUAGAGGGAAGCUGAGGUAGGUCACUUUGUAGUCAAUUCAGCUAACUUUUUCUCAAGUCUGAAUUAUCUCAAGGAAAAAUAUAGUUUUGGGUUUUCUGGAUGUGGUCCCAGCCCUAUUUCUGCAAAUGUGGCAUCUCUCAGUUAGGAGAGGGCAGUGCGAGAGUGGGGUGAGGCAGCAGGUCCCUUGCAAGCUGGUAUGCCACCAGAUCAUGCAGAUGGGUCAGGUUUUGUGCCGUGUUCAGGUUAAUGCUUUGCAAACACUAGGUCCAGACAAGAAGCAGUAGCUCCAAUAAUGUUUAAACGAGCUUAAAAUCUGGAGAUGAGAUCUGUAGGCCUUGUGCAAGGAGCAGGACAGUGGAGCACCCAGAAGUGGAUUUAAGACAUGUAGCUGCUUUGUUCUGGGCUUUGUUGAAACAGACUGCCCCGGGAGGUAGUGGAGUCACUGUCCCUGGAGGAGUUCAAGAACAGUGGAGAUGCGACGCUGAGGGACGUGAGCAGUGGGCAUGGUGGGAUGGGCUGGGGUUGGAUUUGGGGAUCUUAGAGGUCUUUUCCAACUUUAAUGAUUCUGUGAUUCUAUGAUUAGAAGAAGGUGGAGCAGUCACAGGGCUCCCAUGGUUCAGAAUUUGUCCAAGAUCUCUCAGUGUCCCCAUGCUGAAGGGCAGUGCUUGUGCUGGGAUGGUUGGAGCUAACCUGAGAUCCUCCCCAGGUGCUGUGGUGUGGUGCAGGCUGCAUUGGCAGAGGAGGUGCAAUGGGCAAGCAACAAAGUGCAGGAUGGGCCCUGAAAUGCCCUGGGACAUUGGUUUGCCAAACUUCUGUGUCAGUGGUACUGUCAACAAUGUCCUGCCAAGAAGCAUCAGCAGGCAUGCAGCUGAGAUUUCCCUUCCCCCCCCCCUCCUUUUCUUUCAUUCUAUUACUCCUGUUAAAUUCUCUUCACUGCACUCACUCUAAUGGUGCCUCAUUUGGUUUAUGUCCUUCAAACUCUUCCCUUUAAACACGUAGUCAUCACUUAGCUAAACUACUGUAUACAAAUAUAGCUCUUUUGAUCUUCCUACGUAAAUCAAUACCUCCUGCCCUUUAAUCUUCCUAGUGGCUUUCUCUGAACUCCCUGCAAUUUACUAUCCAUCUUUGAAAGUGAGUUGUCUUUUGGGCUUGAUUCUCUACAAUUUCAAACCUCCUGAAGUCCCAAUAGCUGCCCACAGCAGGUGCACACGGUGGUUCUCCACCACUCUGUUCAUGCUGAAGUAAUGCAAACACUUGCAUACAAGGCAUUUCAUGUCCCCUUAGGCUGGUGUGGCUCCCCAUGCCAGAAGUGAGUGGUCAUGCAGCACAAGCCCAUAUUUUCAAAGUAGUUCUCACAGGAUGCUAAAAGCCAUGGCGCAAGCCAUUGGGUGCCAUUUGGGGUUGAAGGAGAGUUGUAAUGGUUGAGUUAUGGAGAGGACUUUCUGCAGUUAUUGGUGGCUGUAGAGAUGAAUCUCAUCUUCUCCAUAGCAGUAGAGCCUGUAGAUGCAAGCAAGCAAGCCCAAGAUAAAGAUUUGUCCCCUGAGAGUGGGCAAUGUAUGUGUCCCUUCCUUCACAGGACAGCUCACCUUACCUGGCUGCAGGUGGGACCUUUUGAUGGGGCUAGACCAUGGGCUCAGCAGGAAACCAGAUCUGGAAGCCCAUCCAGGGUGCAUGUCAUCUCUGUGCAGGGAAGGGUUGCCUUGUCAGCUGCUUUGCAGUGCCAGGAGCUCUGAGAAAUAACCUUGUGCCUUGCUUUGAUGCAAGUGUCAGACACAAGUCCAGCACACUCUCUAACCCAUGUGUCCAGUCUGCUGGUUGUAUUAUGUUUAGUAAAUAAGGUUGUCACUGGAGUGGUCUCGAGGGCAAGAAUUAAGGAAUCUCUUAGGGAUUGAAGAGACAAUUGUACAGUUCUCCCCGUCCUUGCCUUGACAGUUACCUCCAGUUUUCCCCUGGGACCAUUCCACUCUUGAACUGGGAAUGCUGUGAUUCAUAGAAUCACAGAAUCACCAAGGUUGGAAAAGACCUCCGAAAUCAUCCAGUCCAACCACUCACCUACCCCCAGUAUUUCCCCACUAAACCAUGUCCCUCAGUACAACGUCUAGACGUUUCUUGAACACCUCCAGGGAUGGGUCUCAACCACCACCCUGGGCUGCCCAUUUAAAACCAUUGCAGUAAAUGUCUUUUAUUCCCCCUCAUCUUUCAAAGGGAGGGGUUUAUAAUAGCAAUAACCCCUUCUUUUAGCAAUAACCCCUUCUUUUAGCAUUUCAUUAUGGGUCAAAUAAAAGCAUAUCAGAGCACGAGACAGAGAAUCUCACCACUCUGCUUGCCCCCAAAGGAUAAACAUAGUAGUGCUGCUACGGGCCCUAUAGCUUAAUUAGUUGCUAUUCUCUGCAGUUCCAAAAAAGGAUGAAAAAAAUCCUUUGCAAAGCCUAGGCAGGCUGUCUGUGUCAUAUUUCCUGUGUUCUUAGAGGUGUUAAUGAAUUCAUUAAUCACUUAAUGGCAAGGAGGGUCUUUGGGGACCAGCACUGCAAUUUACUGCUCCCAGGAGGCAGACUCUGUCACUGAUCUAAAGUUUCAGCUCCGCUAAUUUGUGCCAGCAGAGCCGCUGAGCUUCUGCCUGCAGCCCGCAAGCAUUGUGGCUACUGGGAGCAUCACAGCAGCACGCAAAGCAUCAGGGUAUGCUCACUUGGGAAGGUUUUGCAACGCGCAACGUUCUGGCUCUGAAAAGUUCAGAGCCCACAUGGAGGCAAGGAGGUGUUCCCCCAGCCUUGCAGUUGUGUUGCCUUGAUUCUUUUCAUUGGGAUAAGCUUGCUGCUAAGCCAGUCCUUGCAAUCAACUGGGGAAUGCAGCAGGAGCCUUGCUGACUUACAGGAAAUGCAAGCUAUGGAAGCGUGGCUGUAUAAUCUGGUCUGGGACUGCAGGCUAUGCAAUGAAAGGAGUCUGUGAAUCUCUUCUAAUUGAAGAGCGUCAGGCUGAUGUAUUUUGACUGAAACUGUCAGUUAAAAUGUGAAUUUGAAUGUUUGCAUUUCUGCUCUGCAGAAAAUGUUGAUUAUUUCAGUCUCUCGCCCUUGUUGCAGGAGAGUCACUUGUGCCAAAGUUCCCUACAAAAUGUCUCUUUUGGCUUCUUUCUCAUCACACGGCAGUUCAAGGAGAGGGGGACGUGAGCAGAGCCCUCCUCUCCGCUAAUUCCAUUCCACCAGCCUGUCAUCACGUUGCAAUUGCCGCUUCUAAAAGGUUUUUCUGCCUUGCUUUUCUGUGGCUGAGCUCCCCUUUCUAACUUCUGUCCGUCUUUCUCCUCGGUCUGUUGCUUUCCCAGGCUGGGAGUCAAAGAGGGCAAAGUACGUCAGAUGUGAGCAGGAGGGAGGGCAGAGUCCAUGGGUCAUGGCUGUCUGUGUGUGUGCACGUGCUCGCCUUCCACCGCUGGUAGCCUCCUUGGAGUCAUUCCCACACUCAUGUUCUUUGCUCAACAGUUACUGUAGGGAGGAGAGAGCUGGAAGGCAGGACAGAAGCUACAUGUUGAAUCAAAGGAGAGAAGGCGGGAAUACAAAACCACUUCAUCGUGGAAAACACAAAGGGAGACAAUUUCAGUAAAUGCCAGAUGGUCAAAAUUAACCAGAGACGUGUAGAGCCCUACAUGUCCAACUGUUUGCUUUGGCAGAGAUUCUUCAGCUUUUCGAACAAGAGUCUCUGGGGCGCCCUUUUCUUCUCCUUGGCUUUCCUCCUCUCCUUUGCUCAUCCUUUGGACUCCUCACCCCACCCUUCUCCUCUGGCUGUUUUUCCUGCCUCUCCUCUCUCACUGCUGCCCAUGAGUCAUGUUGCACCUCAAAUGCCAGCUUGUGUUACGGCGAGGGGAGACCACUGCAAAGAAAUGUCCUCAUGCAACAACAGACUUGGAGGGCAUGCAAGGUGGUGGCUGCAGCUGUCAAGGACCACUGCCAGCACAGCCCUGUGGAAAUGCUGGAGCACUUCAACCCAGUGCUUGUUGUUGCUGUGGGUAUUAAUUUCUUCCUCCCCUCCCAAGGGCCUUGACUCAGCUUUGAUUUUUUUUUGUUUCAGCCAGGAAUCCAGAAGGAGUUCUUGCGGUUCAGUAAGCAGAGGAGCAUGCAUAAGUUGCUUACCAUGAUGGAGCAGUGGGAUGUAGUCUUAGUGGGGCAGGGGGAUGCAACCUUGUUGGGGCAGUGGGACAUGUCCUUGUUGGGGCAGUGGGACAUGGCCUUGCUGGGGCAGUGGGACAUGGCCUUGCAGGGGCAGUGGGAUGUAGUCUUGCUGGGCAGUGGGCCAUGGCUGUGUUGGUGCAGAAGGAUGCUGUCUUGUUGGGGCAGAGGGACACGGCGUUCUUGAAUCCAAGCCAACUGCAUGGCAUGUUCCUCCAAACAAUGCAAUCAAGAGGGCCCUUGUAUGGCACAGACGGAGAGCUCCAGCUAACGACGGGCUCUUUUGUGUGCGCGUGUGCUCUCUGCAUUUGAAACAUUUAUUAUUCCAAAUUGCCUUCUGCACAUUUUACAAUAAUUACGACUAGUGUUUGCCUUGUUAUCUCCACAGUUACUAACAAGAAUGCCAUCAUUAUUCCAGUCAUUAGCAAAAUGGAUGUUGUUGUCCAGAGUUGCCGGCUGUGGGCCUGCUUUCAGAAGGAGUCUCAUGCUCUCCAACCUUGCCUACUCCAUCUUUCUUCCAGGGGAAUAUUGUUCUCAGUAGGUUUGAACCUGAGCGGGCGGAGGGGAAGCAGAGAUUUCAUGAAGAAGAAUUGCUUUGAGGGAGUGCUGGUGGGUGUCAGGAUUCGCAGCAGUGAGCACUGGGAAUCUGUUAAUGGCAACAUUAGUAGGAACGAGAGUAAAGGCAGCCAUUUGCCCGUGUUCCUUGUGUAUUUGGUGUAUCUUAGGUCUGCUCCUGCUGCUAGGAUCCAGUAACUCUUCCUGUAAGAAUGUGUUGCUUGGAUGUGAAGAGAUGCUAUCGAUCUUACAAUGGAGGUUGCAGAUGAAGGAGAAAAGGUUGGAAUUAAGCCGACAGCACUCAGCUGCUGUAAGCCGGACAUUGCAGAAUGGUGGCUUGCAUGAAGCCAGAGGCCAAGCUCUAUGGUCUGGAGCCUCACAGGGAGUCCUCCAAGUGAAGGAUGAGCCCUGAGCUGCAGGAGAGAUCUACUCCCACUAAACCAACCUCCCGAGGGGACUUACUUCGUUUGACUGGCUCCGUCAUCCUCAGGAGGAAACUUUCCUCUGCAAGAUGGUGAAAUAGUGCCCAUGUGGAAACGUUCUGACUGCAUGCGCCUGGAGUCCGGCAUUGUUGCAGAGGAGGAGGGCGGCAUAGGAUGGCUCCAAAGAAAAGAGGUCUGCAUCAGAAGGAAAACCUCCUGCCAUGCCAGCUUGCCCAGACCUAACGGUGAGACGGCCUUUCCCAGCUACAUUAAGGGCUGCUUCUUGUGGACUGGAAGUAUUGCCAAAGAGUGAGUGAUCCUUAUUAAUAUGCAUCUCCAAAAACAACAGGCAGUCUUGCACAGAUCCUCUCACACGUAUCUUUGGAUUUUGAGACAGUGGAGAGCUAUUUAUUCCCUCUCACACCAAUGUCAGCCAUAGCGCAAGAUGUCUUGAGCUGAUUAAAAAUCUCUUUAAUCAAAUGCUGGCAGGGGAAGUGUUCAGAAUGUUAGAAGGAUGACUUUGACAAGCUGCCCCUGCACUGUGAGUGACUUCAUCCAGAGGUUGGCCCGGCAGACUGGCGUGUGAUACAAAGCCUCCACUCACCUUGAUUUCCAAAGCUGCCAACAAACUGCAGUGACGAUGCUGAGAAGCCAGUAGGGCACUGUAGCCUGUGCUCAGUUCUUCUCCGUUAGAUACUGACCCCCCCAAAAAAAACCUUUGCUACAGGCAAAAUCCAUCACUCGAUUCAUCAACCCCUACCUACGCUUCAAAUUCCUAUAUCCCAAAUCCAUGGGAACGAUUUUGAACAUGAAUGUAGGCUGGAAAUCAUUGCUGUGCAGAUUGUCUGGAGGCUUUUUUUUCCCCCCUGUUCUAUGGCUGAACUGGACUUCAAAAGAAUAAAUAAAAUCCAUUCUGGUAGCACCCCCUCCUCCCCCCCCCAACCCCCCAGGAGGAGUGUACUUCUAUGGAGAAAGGGCAUAAAGAAACCUCCUGAUAUUUUAUUCAACCAGAAUUAAGUGUUUUGAUUUUGGGGAAUUCAGCUAAUUUUCUUACUCCUCAAAAUAGGUCAGCUUUGAAAUAGAAGAUGUCACGCUGUAACAAAAAAAGGGGAAUAGAUUUGUUUAGUGAAUGUAAGAUUAUACAUACAUACUUCUGGAAUUUUAACAAGCUUAUGAAUGGAAAGAAAGCAUCCAGGUUGUUUCUCAGUCAGUUAGACUUGGAUUUAGGACCGGUUUUCACUCUCCAUAAACUGCAUUUCUUUUUCACUUAGAAGAUCCCCUCCCACCACAAAAGCCCCUUCCCCUUUUGCCAUUGCUGGAAAUAAAUAGCCAUAAUAUAGCUGGAAUUAAUACAGCUACACUGAGUCAACUAAGUGCUGAAUUUUUCUUUCCCAAUGCUCUCCGGGCACCCAGACGUGCUCAAUAGGAAGUGUUGGCACUUGGGGCUACGUAUAGAAAACCAGGGUGUGUGCUGCUGGGGCUGUUAGGGAGGAAAUCUUGUGCCAGCAGCCCUCUGCUGUGGGCCUUCUCCAAGCUUUGUCUCUAUUCCCUCAUUCCUCUGCAGAUGUCCUAAGCCACAUUUUGCUUUCAUUAUGACAAAAAUUGUGCAAGAUACUCAUCUUCUUUUAUUUAUUUAUAUAUAUAUAUAUAUAUAUAUAUAUAUAUAUAUGUAUAUGUAUUUUGUAGCAUUUCUGUGUUCCUACACCUUCUCUCUUUGCGGCAUUGCUUGUGGACAUGUAAGUAGUAGGUUAGUUUCUAUUCUCACUCUGGGGGGUUGGGUUCCAAACUGUUUAUUGAGUAAUAAAAAGAGAAAAUGGCGAGUCAUUGCCCAGGGAUAAUGUGCUAAUAAUUUUAUGACUGGACAAAUGGUUGCAACAGCCCACAAAUGGCUGUAGGCAGGAAACCUGGUGUCUAUUGCUGACAGAGCCACCCCCAAGGAGAUAAAACCUCACUUUUGGUGAUCAAAGUUGAUGCAACAACUGUGAUCUAUUAAAAAUUACUUUGGAGAUGGGUAAGGCAAUCAUUAUUCCUCUUGGAGGAGAAGUGGCGGACAUAGACUUUUUGGGAAGUGUUUAGAAGAGAGCUCUACAUGGGAUGAAUGCAACAGACCACCGUGGCUGCUUGCGCUCGGAGCCACGCGGCGCGCAGCUGCAGGGCUGCAGGCUGGGGAUGCUUGGAGAAACAAAGAUUAAAGGGGGGUUAGUGCUAUCAGGCAAACACGAAUCAUCCCAGAGAUAACAAAGGGUUGAAGUUUAUUUAGCCACUAACCGUAUGGCACUCAAGUGCGUUAGCCUGGCUUGACUGCUGCAGAGCAUGGAGCCGGAAUGGCUGCUGCAGGGCGUACACCAGGAUACACCCUGUCCCACUCUGGGCUGAUGUCCCCUGUCUGAUUACUCAAGGAGGAUGUCCCCCUCCUGGGGAUGGGGCAGUUGUCCCAUCGGCACCAAUUUCUUCCCGCUGUUGUGGAGUUUGGUGGGGAAGGAUGAGCAGGGCCCUUGUGAGGUCUCUCUCUGCCCGUCUCCCAGCAGGCAGGAGGAGCUGUACCUCUUCCAAAGCCGCAGCAGAUCCAGCCCUCGAAGCGGGCAAGAAGCCAUGUGAUGGGGCGUAGCUGCUCGCAGCUGCCAAGACCUCACAUUUGUAUGUUAGUGAUGCAGAUAGGAUCUCAUAAACCCGUCUCCAUACUGCUUUACUGCUGAUUUAACGAUCAGAGGAAGAACUUGACUGUUUAUUAAAACAUUAGACAGUAAAGUUUAACAAUAGACAGUAAAGGGUUUUGUUUUUCCAUCCCUCUGAUUGUUAAAGCAACAACACAUAGGCCUGGAGAGGGGCCUGCUGCUAACCUCAGGAUGAUGGGAUGGGGCCAUGAAGCUCCUCCAGAAGGCAGGAUAGAGCAGCUGGCAUUCUGGCAAAUCCCAUAUCUGAAGAAGGAAAUCUGAUGUAGGGUAUGGGUGCGUGCCCCAUCACCGGAGGCGCUGAGGGCUGGGCUGGAUGGGGCCCUGGGCAGCCUGAGGUGGUGGGGGGCAGCCAGCCCAUGGCAGGGGUAGGACUGGGUGGGCUGUAAGGUCCCUUCCAACCCAACCAUUCUGUGAUUCUAUGAGUCUGACUGCGAGAAGGGGCAAUCCAAUUGCUCUGUGGGCAAGAGUCUCGUGGUAGGGCUCCUGUUGUUCAGCAGACCCACAAACACCGGCAAAGGGAGCAGAUGGAAACAAAACUCGCAAGGCAACAGCAUUAUUCAGGACAGUGCCAACAAAAGCUGACUGCGAAGAAACGCCGAAGGAUUGCAGCGUGCAGGUGAUGAAAUGGCAGAGGAAAUUCAUUGUUGGUAACUGCAGAUAGAGAAAAAUCAGCAGUGGCUGUACCCAUACAGCAGCACCAUCUCAAUGAGCUAUUGCCUCUCUGGAAGGAGGCUGUGGAGGCAAGGCAGGCUGUUUCUGGAAACGUCAGCAGUGAUCACAAAGGCAGUGGCCAUUCUAGGAGUUACGGAGGAAGAAAUGGAGAGUAAAACAGGCUGCCAUUGUGCUGCUGGGUGCAUCCACAGUGCAUCCCCAUCCGAGGUGCUGCCCCUGCUUCUGGUGGCCGUGUCUUGGGGCCAAGGGAAGAUGGAAGAGGAGUUACAGGGACUUCAUAGCAGGACCUCGAGAACUUGAGCUGAAGUGGACAGAUCUGGAGGAGAAGAUGAGAGGAAGAAAGCCCUGGGUGGCUUGGAGGAGUUGGACAUGGAGCUGGACAAGCAUCUGCUCUGUGUCUGUGCUGAUGCUAUUUAGAAACCCCAGCCUUGGCUCUGCUUGACAUUUGGUAAUGCUGAACUGGGACAGCACCCAAAAAACCCCAUCCGUGUUGGACCGUCAGUAAGAGGUGGCACAUCUGACCAAAACCACGUCGCCAUUUGCUUCCUUGACAGCACAUCCUACCUUAUCCCCUGUCCUUGUCCUGCUGACCCCCGUUCCCAGCCUCCCUUGCUCAAUUUCAGCAGCAUCUUGGGAGGCCCCUUCAGCUGCAAGCCCCUCGCUUGGGAAAGAAAGUGGGGUUGGAGGGGGGGGAUCAGAGCCCAGCUGUGGGCUGGGGCAGCAGGCGAGUGCUUUCCAAACGCUGACUGCUGUUGGUGUAUUUCUGCUGGUGAGGAUGCAGCUGGCAGCGUUUGUGUGCAUGCGUUUAUACACACACACACACACACACACAUACUCACCUCCACACGAGUACACGACUAAAAUACAUAUAUUUCCUCACCCCGCAUCUUUCUGCAAGCUGCAAAAAUACAAAAGAAUAAAAUUAAGUCUCUUAUCGCUGCUAAGUCAUCAGAAACUAAUAUUGCAUCUACCGGGCAGUUUUCCCCCUCCCCCCCCCCCGAACCAUCUCCACUUCGCAAUCCUAAUUCAAUGAUUCUUUCUGUAGCUCUUUACAUUCUAUUAUUUAUAAGAAACAAUAUUCAGCCCUCCCCUGACAGUGUUUGCAGGGCUGCGGGAAGCAGUGCGGCAGAAAGGUGGUAGAACAAUUUUGGUUAUGUUUCCAUAGCUACCUAGCUGCUAAAUGUGGUUUAUUCCAUUUUAAAGUCAACCAACACACACCCGCACGCACACGCACAAACCACCAGAUGAAGUGUAUUCAAACUAAUCCCUGGGCCGCCUAUUACAGCCUAAUAUCCCUGCCAUUUGUAUAUUUAAAGGGAUAGUUGCUGCAGAAAUAAAUGGCAGGGCAGCGCUCUCGCUGGCUAGAGCAGGAUGAUCAACAUAUUGUUUCUUUCUUGCUCUCCUCUCCGACGUGUGUGUUCCACUCCAUCCCUGUAAUAUUAUUAUGGAGAUUUUUACCGAGGGCUGAGAGCUGAGGAAGUCGGAGGUAGGAUGGUGUCCUCUCGUGGCAGUCAGCAUCUCUGCAGCCUGAUGGUAGCCGUGCCAAGAGAGAGCCGAGCCUGGGCUCUCCUGGGCAUGCACGGCUGUCUUAGGGACAAAACUCUUGGAGCAGAGCUUCCCACCUCCCCUAGUGCACCCAAAGACGAGGAGCCUCCUGCUUCUGCUCCACGCCAGGCUGGAGGCUGCUGCUUGCUCUUGCUUUCCCUGCGUGAAAGAAGAACCCUUGGGAAAGGAGUGGUGGGUACCAGCUUUGCAGAGCGGAGGAAGUUUGUCCCAUGGAAGUGAGCAUCUCUGAGCUGCCGUGGGUUGGUGGAGAACAUCUCAGAGCUUGUAAUCAGUGCCUCAUAAAUCACCGCUGACUGCCGGGAUCGCUUUGGCCGCUCUUCCCCAUCGUCCUGUCUGCAGGAAUGGGCUGCACGUUUCCACGUGGAUCGGGUCUGAAUUGGCUGUCUGAAUCCAGAGAUUAAAGAAACAGCAGCCUCUCUCUCUCCUGUAACUGACUGACUAAUUAAUGUGCACCUUGCUAGGCCCGAGAAUCCAUGAGCAUCCUCAGAAGUCUGAAGAGAAUGGGCAUCCUGUCUAUAUCCAAGGCAGGUAAUCACUGUAAAGGGUGGCUGGAAGGGCAAAAGCUGCAUUUCCCCACGCUGGGGGCUGCGGAGGAGGCAGAGGCAGAUACCUGGGGCUCCCUGGCAGCGCUUGCUGAAGAUCAGCCUUGAUCAGAACAGGUCUUCUCACAGGAAACAUCAACUUUUUGUCAAAAAAGCCUGAAGAUAAAUAUUCUUGGAUGAAAACCUAUAAAAAGCUCAGACUGACAAACUAUUUUUUUUAGGCACUUCUUUUUCUCCCAACAAGAAUAUAUCUGUCAAGAGAAACAGAUGUUCUCUAUGAAGAAUCUUCUUUAAUUACAAGUCUGUCAAAAAGAGAAAUCUUCAAGUGUCUCAAGCCUCAAAUCUGCGAAUGGCUUCAGCCCUGGGCAAGAAAUCACCCCUUUCCUGAGCAGCCCCAGUGCCCUUUCUCAGCUCUUGUCAUGUCAUCCCUGCAGCUGCACCAAUAAACUGGGCAUUUUUGGAGUUUAGUUUUCAGAUGAGCCCGCUUCAAAUCAAUGGAGCUGCUGCUUUUCGUGACUCCUGGGAAUAAGAUGGCGUGGAAACAACCCACGGCCAUGCCCAAAUAAGAAAACUAAAAGAAUUAUUGGUUUUGGUCAACCUGGAACAUGGCUCUUUUUGCCCUGACAUUUUCCUAGAGGAAAGUGAAACUCUUCAUCUACAGAUUCAAAAAGUCCCAAAGGCACUCUGUCAGACAUCUCCCAACGUGCUCUCUCAGUUAUUGCUGGAUGGAUCAGAAGUUCUCCAGGGAGCAGUGAAGAUGUUUUUGCGGGCUACAUAACCUCAAAGGCUGAAAAUACUCAAUUCCAGUGUCUGCUUCUUGCUUCCAGAGGAGAUAUCUGCUCUUUGUCUUCAUCUUCAUCGUCAUCAUCUUUGUCUUUGUCUUCAUCAUCUUUGUCUUCAUCUUUGUCUUUGCUUUGUCUUUGUCCUCCUUCUCCUUCUUUCUCUCUCUCCUCUUCCUCUUCCUUUUCCUCCUUCCUCCAGCUCCUAAAUCCCCACCUUCCCUCCUUUCCUUCUCCCCAUCAUGCAUUGCAUGCUGAAUGCAGGAGGCUCUCAAAGGCAAGAGUCGGCCUGGGACACUCUUACCCACAAUAGCAGUGGUGAACAGAACCCAGGUUUUCAGCCAGGAAAUUUCACUGGUAAUCUCCUGCGAGGGAGGCACUCCCAUUUUUCAUGAUGGUUGGCCCUUGCGGGAUAUGGAUGAAAAGAGAAAGCAUUUCAUUUGCUCUUUGAAAACUGGAGCUAUAGAUCAAGGCCCUGCUCAGUCCCCUGAAGACUAGAAAUGGGAUUUUUGCAAGAAUUGAGGCUAUCCUCUCUGAAAACUAAAACAGUUAUCUACACUUUCAUCGAGAGGUCAGCAGUAGAGAUUUUUCUCCAACAGCUGGAUAAAUCCAGGCUGUUAGUGCCUCUCCUUCCCACUGUUCUCUGUUAUUGCUUUUCAUUACGUGAAGGGUGAGGAACAAGCAAAUACCUCUGCUUUCUAGCUUUGCCCUUGCCCGUUUGUACAAAGCAGCCAAACAUUUCCUUCUGACACUCAGGACCCAAGCACCUUUGGUGUCUGAUAUUUCUCCUUGGAUGCCGUGGUCUGGAUGCAGUUGCUCAGGGCUGCUUAAUCCUACCAGAUGGCAUAGAAAUGUUAUUUUUUGGACACAGGCACUCCUCUUGCCGGGUAUGGGUGCCACGGGACCAGGGCAUCCUUUGUCACCUGGACCCAUUGUGAUCUCCUGUAACACUGGGCAGGAGGGUUUGCGGAAUCACGCUGCAUCCUGCGUCCCUGAGCCUUGCAGCCAUAAAUCCUUUGCCUCUGCCACAACUGUGAUUGAGCCUGCCUGGCUUAAUUUAUUUCUCCAGAGCCCACACAGUUAUGGUAGAGAUGAUUGCCUGCUCAAGGAGCAGCACUUGGGAUGAAAUCUUUUCCUCUUGAGAGUGCUGCUGGAAAAACAAGGCAGUGUCCGUGAGCUGCCAGCAAUCCCCAUGUAGGCAUUGUCUUUGCUUGGCCACUUCUUUGCGGUGCUCUCAUCCUUCCUGACCUCUCCCCUUCUCUCCCUUCCUUUAAGUCCUUUUCUCUCUGUUUCAUUUCUACCUAUGUCUCUUCCUCUUCAGGUUCCUCGCUAGGCACUGGAGCUGAUUGCAGUGGUGAUCCAGCAAAUCACAGUAGUGAUGCUGCUGAUGGAAUAACUCCUUGGGGUUCCACGCGGUUGCUGUGCGGGCACUGAGUUUCAAACUGCAGAAAAGGAGCAGGAAAGCCUGAUAUUUGGGUGCAUCAACUGGAGCUUUCAUCCCCACCCCAGGGAGAUGGGUUUUGGAGCCCUAGCAGUCUGCCCACCCUAUGGACAUGGCCAGAUACCCCCAGUUCCUUCCCAAGCACUGCUACCCAGAGAGGUGCUCUGUCCUGGCUAUGGGAGUUGAGCACGAAUAACUCACAAAUAAUGGAAAUCCCCACCAUGUGCCCCCAGCAUUGGCACGGCUCAGAGCCCUGCAAGAAGCGCGCUGCCUUGUUUGUCACCUGAAGCACUUGGAAAAAUUACACAAAUCCAUCAAUGUAAUGAAUCUUCUCAGCAGUGGCGAAUAGACAGAGACAGACAGGCACUCAGCUGAAACAAGUCAUCUUUAAAAAUUAAUACAAAAUAAACAGCUGGCCUUUCGCUCCGCUUCCAGGUGGUGGCUGCGUGGUUUGGGCGAGGGCUGGGCAGGGAUCAAUGAUGGUUCCCAAUGGGAUCACGUCCCUGGGGCAGGGAAGUGUCCUCUGCCGUGUCCCUGUCACUGUCACAGUGUCACCUCCAUCUGCUGCUGCUCCAGGAAUGGUGGUGCAGCGCGGCAGUCAGUGUUGCACUGCGUGAGUGACUGCUUAAGAAACAGCCAAAUCUUUGGGAAUGCCAAAGCCUCAUCACCUCCCUACAGCCUUGCCAGGCUUCUGCCAGCCCUCUGGGCUCUCACAUCAGUUUGUCAGUGUCUGAUGGAGCUUGUACACUCCUCAGAGGACAGGCUGAGCUUGCUCUCCUGCUUGUCACGAUGUGGGCUCCAUAAAUAAUUAACAGCGGUGCUGCUUCUGCCCUCGAGCUUUCAUUUCAUUACCCAGGAAUAACAUACCCACCUAUAUACGUGUGUAUGUACAUGUCUGCGUGUAAUACGCAUCCAUAUGUACUUACAUUGCUUAAACAUCUGUUUCACCGGCCAGCCUCUCUGCUUUUCCUUCGGCCAUGGCUCUGUCUCCCUGCUGGUCCCAAGGGCAGGCAAGCAGCAGAAGGCGCUGCUCUCGACCGUGAGCAUCCCACCAGUGCUCCAGCUGCUCCUGCUCUGAGGCCAGGCUAUUUACGAGGUACCCAUGGGGCUGCCCUUGCCCUGCAGAGUGUGGGGAUGGAGAGCGGGGAGGAAGACGGAUGGAUCCUGAAUUGAGGUGAAUUUAUGGGGCUUUGCGAUUCCUGCUGCUGUAUGUCUCCGAGAAAUGACACCGCCACUUCAGGAGCAGAGAUUAAUCUGAGCCGGCAGGAGAAGGACAAAACAAAUCAUCUACUGCAGGAAUCUCAUUUGAUGCCUGUUAGUAAAAGCACUGCGAUGAAUGGCUUUUGUAAAGACCGCGUAGUACAGGCUUUUUUUUUUUCCUCCCUUUUCUCCAUUCGUCUGCAAAUUGAGGUCUGUGAGGUGUGUGGUGGAGGCACCCCAGGGUCACUCAUGGCCAGGCACAGGACAAGGACUCCCAGCAGCUUUGUGCACUGUGAGACAGGAGAGCAAAAAAGGGAAGGCAGAGCUCCCAGCGCGUCGUACCCAAGGAAGGAAUCCUUCGCUUUUGUUUUUAAAAGGGCAUUGAUUCUCACGUCCUGCAGAACACGGGGUCGGGGCAGCCUGCAGCCCCAGACAGAACAUCCCAGUGCUGCUCUGCAUCCCAGCCAGCAGCAGCUGGAUGCGGCCCAGUGGGAGCAGUACCAGCACCGAGCACUCCUCCCGCACGCCGCUGUGCAUCCCAGCUCAAUACAGAAUCAAUUGGAUUGAUCUUUUUUUAAGGUGCAGCCUCCGAACGGCUGAGACUGUGAGAGACGUGGCUAAGCACGCACUUCCACAAAAUAAUUUGUCAGGCCCCGCUGUAGAAACCUAAUGAUGGCUGUAAUUUAUUGCUGACAGACGAUAUUUAUCACCGCAGCAUCCCCUCUUUCUCUUCCUCUGUCUCGUUAGGAAUGGCAUCAAUAAUGUUUAUUGUAGCUUUUAAUUUUUUAUCGCUGGUAUUCUUACCUGUGCUGCUGAGGGCUGCAGGAGAUGGGAAAGGCGUCAGAGCAGAUGGAGGCUCAGCUCUGUGCUGAAGGGUGAGCGAUGAAGGCUGGAAGUUCCUCCUGCGUGCCCAUGCAGGGAGCGUGCAGUGCCAGAGAGCACCCCGAUAGCAGGGAAAAGUGAGCUGUUCCCAUAAAGCUUACUCCCUCUCUUCUGAGCCUUUGGACCUGUGCAAGGGAUGCUCAGACCCAGCAAAGCAGUGGCAUUGCUUUGGUUUUCCCCAGACGCUGCUCCCACGUGGGGCUGGAGAAGGAACAUCACCCCUCCGCUGCUGCACCUGCAUUGCUGCGAUCAUCUCACACCUGAUGAUGCCCACAAGCCCUGUGGUCACAGUUCUUGUCCCUGAAAGCAACCAAAACCCCAACUCCAAUCCUGAAAUCUCCUUUUUUUCCCCUCGUUUUCCUACAGUUUUUCCUACCCUUGAGGAAAUGUGCUGCACCAGGUUGUGAUGCCCUAUAAACCAGCACUUCCCAGAGGGGAUUUCUUCCCCCUUUCCAGACGUGAAUAAUUACCCAGGCAGAGGCUGUUCCAGCCUCGUUACAGGAGCCUCUCAGACUAGCCGGUCAUUUACAGAUUAGAUAGAUGUUGCCCACGUUGUUCAUAACUGAUUAUGGGAUUGGCAGUUUGGCUCUCACCCAAAAUUCAGAGUCCUGAUUUAGCAUAAUUGGAAGUGAAUGGCGGAGCAGGCUGGGGGAUGGGGAUGGUGCCUGCUGCUGAUUUCCUAAUGCCGGCUUUGGGGAUCCCUGACAAGCUGCGGAGUGCUCUUUAUAGGGCAAUAACGUUUACGGUGUGGGUUGUCUGGGGGAGGAACUCCUGUGAUGGCAGCAGCCACCUCCUGCACGUCCCAGAUCGAAGCUGGAGAAAUCAAGAAUACCAGAAAAGCAACG
Molecule: long non-coding RNA, 23201 nt
Filed under: Gallus gallus (chicken)
Lineage: Eukaryota; Metazoa; Chordata; Aves; Galliformes; Phasianidae
Description: lncRNA (ENSGALG00010026246.1)
Source: RNAcentral